RNAcentral lists this ribosomal RNA (398 nucleotides) under uncultured bacterium. Its description in RNAcentral is "partial 16S ribosomal RNA". It matches the Rfam family "Bacterial small subunit ribosomal RNA", at positions 523 to 918 of the family's 1533-position model. The record is from RNAcentral.
AUACGUAGGGUGCGAGCGUUGUCCGGAAUUACUGGGCGUAAAGAGCUCGUAGGUGGUUUGUCGCGUCGUCUGUGAAAUUCCGGGGCUUAACUCCGGGCGUGCAGGCGAUACGGGCAUAACUUGAGUACUGUAGGGGAGACUGGAAUUCCUGGUGUAGCGGUGAAAUGCGCAGAUAUCAGGAGGAACACCGGUGGCGAAGGCGGGUCUCUGGGCAAUAACUGAAGCUGAGGAGCUAAAGCAUGGGUAGCGAACAGGAUUAGAUACCCUGGUAUUCCAGGCCGUAAACGGUUGGUGCUAGGUGUAGGGGUCUUCCACGACUUCUGUGCCGUAGCUAACGCAUUAAGCGCCCCGCCUGGGGAGUACGGCCGCAAGGCUAAAACUCAAAUGAAUGGACGGGG